RNAcentral lists this ribosomal RNA (504 nucleotides) under uncultured bacterium. Its description in RNAcentral is "bacterial SSU rRNA". It matches the Rfam family "Bacterial small subunit ribosomal RNA", at positions 390 to 909 of the family's 1533-position model. The record is from RNAcentral.
AUUCACGCCGCGUGAGGGAUGAAGGCCUCUGGGCUGUAAACCUCUUUUAUCAAGGAAGAAGAUCUGACGGUACUUGAUGAAUAAGCCACGGCUAAUUCCGUGCCAGCAGCCGCGGUAAUACGGGAGUGGAAGCGUUAUCCGGAAUUAUUGGGCGUAAAGCGUCCGCAGGCGGUUUUGUAAGUCUGUCGUUAAAGCGUGGAGCUUAACUCCAUUUAAGCGAUGGAAACUGCAAGACUAGAGUGUGGUAGGGGCAGAGGGAAUUCCCGGUGUAGCGGUGAAAUGCGUAGAUAUCGGGAAGAACACCAGUGGCGAAGGCGCUCUGCUGGGCCAUAACUGACGCUCAUGGACGAAAGCCAGGGGAGCGAAAGGGAUUAGAUACCCCUGUAGUCCUGGCCGUAAACGAUGAACACUAGGUGUCGGGGGAAUCGAGCCCCUCGGUGUCGUAGCCAACGCGUUAAGUGUUCCGCCUGGGGAGUACGCACGCAAGUGUGAAACUCAAAGGAA